Molecule: non-coding RNA, 2492 nt
Organism: Microcebus murinus (gray mouse lemur)
Lineage: Eukaryota; Metazoa; Chordata; Mammalia; Primates; Cheirogaleidae
Source: RefSeq, a predicted model, not a curated record
GCCGGAGAGAGACCCCUGGCCCCUUCUGCCAUGUGAGGUCAGAGUAAGAAGGCGCCAUCUAAGAGGAAGAUGCCCUCACCAGACACUGGAUCUGCAACACCUUGAUCUCAGACUUCCAGCCUCCAGAAAUGGCCUAUAAAACAGCUGCGGAAAGGCGGCAGCUCUGUGCAAGCUCUCUUGCCAAGUUUGGCUGAGACCAAUGCCCGCUAGCUCUAGCCAUUGCUUCCUCCCUCCUGGGCGCUGGAAGACCAGGCUCCUCCUCCAGUUAAGAGUGGGGAGAUACAGUCUCCCCAACACCCUAGUGUGAAGAGAAGUCACGAGUGGCCCAGCUGGUGCAGCCAGUGGGAGGAGAGGCAGCCCAAAGACUGGCCUGGUUUCUGCCUGACCGUGUGGAACCCUGGCGGUCCUCUCUCCCCCAGACCCGGUCUUCUCAUUUGGAGGACGAGGGGAUAGCUUGGCUGGUUUUCCUGUCUCCUUCCAAGUCUAAAAUUUCACAAAUCGGUCAUUUCUGCUUAGGGUGCUCCUGCCCAGUGACUGGAGAGAGGAGGGGCUUUGCCCAGGGACACCCACUACCUGGGGUUGUCCAGACGGACACCCAGGUCCCCCGACCUGCACUCAGUGCUCUCUCUGCGACACUCCGUCCUCAGUGGAACAGUAGCUCUCAAUCCCGGCCACAUCAGCAUCACCUGGGGGGAUUUCACAGCCUCCCAAUCCGCAGCUGCACUCCAGACCAAUGAAAUCGGAGUCCCGGGCUGGGAGCUGGAGGUAGGUCUGUUUGGAAAACUAUGACGGAGCCGUCAGGGUUGAGGGCCAUCGUGGAAAAGUCUUCUAGAGACUGAAGAUCAAGCUCUAAGCCAGAGGUGAUGCAUUUCUGUCCCAUGUUCUCUGCUGAGAGGAUCGUGAGGCUGGUGGGAAGAGAUCUCUGACGAACCACCGAGUCUGGCAGGCGUUGGGGAGUGGCUGUGGUCCCACUGUGAGAACGUGGGGCCAGCCUCCAGGUGCUGACUCAUUGGCAUGUGGCUCCCUCCCAGGACCCUGGGGUCUGCCCCUGGACUCCAGGUCAGGUGGCCCCAGGGCUGCUGUCCAGGAACUUGAAACCAACCUCAGCCAGAGUUAGAAGGCCCCAGGUUAGCCCCAGCCCUCCAAGGGCUUCGUGCAGAAUGAGAGAAGGCAAAUAGAGAAGGGAAACCAAAGCAGAGCAGAGUGCAGUGAAGGAGAAAAAGACAAGAGAAAGGGGAAGGACCCUGAGGUCAGUGAGUCAUGUGAAUGGCAUUUAGGGAACAAAACCCCCUCCCCUGUGCCCACCAGGCUCCCCCCAUCCAUCCUUCCCUGGCCUCAGGAGAGGCACUCUCCUGCCCGGGUCCAGAGCACGGAGGGUACUGCUGCCCGCAGAGGCCCAGGAGAGGAAGUCCAAAUGCAGACAUUUGCCAGCCAUGAGUCGUGAGCCCCGUGCGUCCUCUCCCAGUCGGUGCCAGCAAGAGCCCUCCUCUCGGACACACUCUCAGAUCCUCGCCCUCUCCUGACCAGAGCCAAGGUCUCCGGUCAGACAUCUGAGCAAAGCCACCUGGCCAUUCCUAGACCAAAGGAAAUGUUCAAUCUGAUUCCCAAGACACUUGACACCCCAACCGGGUGAUCUGAUCCGGAUGAUACUGCCGAGGAGCUGUGUGACCUCGAGCGAGCCACCUCAUCCCCACCCGGACCUCAGGGCCUGACCUUGUCUGCCUUCCGUGCCAUCAUGUUUGGAUGGGAGGGAUGCCACUGCGGCCAGGGCUGGAGAGACUGGGCUCUGGACACAGAGGCCUGGGCCUGGCUCCGCCGCUUACUGGCCUUGUGAGUGUUGGCAGCGACAGCUCUGCACCCAUUUCCCCACUGGAAGGCGAGAGUUAGCAAACUGAUGACAGAAGGGGAGAAGAUAAGACACGUCCAAACACCAUGGGACUCACAUCUAGAAUACACAUGACCGCCUUUUGUAAAUCCAAAAAGCAUGGCAACUCCAGUGGAAGAUUGGGCGCAGGAUGUGAAUGGGCAGUUAAGAGAGCUGCAAGGAUGUUUGCACACGGGACGAUACACAGUUAAUGCAUCGAAGAGUUUGCCAUCAGGAGGGGAGGGGAGUGAGAAACAGGGACACAUGGGAUGGUGGUUCUCAACCUUGGGGUGACUUUGCUCCCUCCCUGUAUGGGACAUUUGGCAAUGUCUGGAGACAUUGUUGAUUGUCACAGUGGGGGUGGAGAGAUGCUACUGGCAUGUCGUGGGAAGAGACCAAGGGUGCUGGAAGACACCCUCCAAUGUGCAGGACAGCCCCCACAAAGAGCAUGGUCUGGCCUGCAACGUCAACAGUGCUGAGAGUGAGAGACUCUGUGCUAGACAGACAGAUAAGCACAUGAAGGGGCCUUUCAAGGACAAAUGAUGAACGUGUACCAUGAACUGAGGAGGCACAGGAUUAAUUUAAAUAAGUGAAAUACAAUGGCAACAAUGAUGGCUCUUCAAUGGCA